UAAUACGGAGGGCGCAAGCGUUGUUCGGAAUCAUUGGGCGUAAAGCGCGUGUAGGCGGCUUGGCAAGUCGGGUGUGAAAUCCCGGGGCUCAACCCCGGAACUGCAUUCGAUACUGCCUCGCUAGAGUCCCGGAGAGGAGGGCGGAAUUCCCGGUGUAGAGGUGAAAUUCGUAGAUAUCGGGAGGAACACCAGUGGCGAAGGCGGCCCUCUGGACGGUGACUGACGCUGAGAUGCGAAAGCGUGGGGAGCAAACAGGAUUAGAUACCCUGGUAGUCCACGCUGUAAACGAUGGAUGCUAGCCGUUGGUGGGUUUACCCUUCAGUGGCGCAGCUAACGCAUUAAGCAUCCCGCCUGGGGAGUACGGUCGCAAGAUUA
Molecule: ribosomal RNA, 375 nt
Filed under: uncultured bacterium
Lineage: Bacteria
Description: bacterial SSU rRNA
Rfam family: Bacterial small subunit ribosomal RNA
Source: RNAcentral